Long non-coding RNA from Erpetoichthys calabaricus (reedfish), 1639 nucleotides. RefSeq lists it as uncharacterized. The transcript is spliced from 4 exons. The record is from RefSeq and is a predicted model, not a curated record. Lineage: Eukaryota; Metazoa; Chordata; Cladistia; Polypteriformes; Polypteridae.
UUCUGCAUUUUCUGGUUAAUUUGAACAAUGAACUCAAAACCACAACAGGAAAAAUAUAUAUUUUAGAUUUACUGUAUUGACAUGCUGUGUUUAAGCAGUCAAUCUGUACUCACAUUGUCAUGCGCUCCAAAUAAAGGCCAAAAGAUUAAGAUGGCGAGACCCUGAGCUCUAAAUGGGAUUCCUGUGCAGGGGUGUUGGGCUCAGCAACUGAGGGGGGAUAUUUGGGUAGAACUUCUGCACCCUCUUAUUGAGAUAUGCAAGUAAGAAUGUCAUUGUGCUAUGGACACAAGACAGUAAAUUUGAAAGCGAACUGGUUAUGGUGCCCUCUGAGGGACUCUUACUUGGCAUGGAGUGGGUAUACCUGGGGCACACCUAUAGAGCAUGGUGUAGGGAUUCUGUCUCUCAAAUGACUUGUGUGUGUCUGGGAAUUCCAUAGAAGAAGCUGGCAAAAGUGGUUAAGGAUAGGGUGGUCUGGUCUGGACACACAGUGAUGGUGUGUCAGCCUUUGUAAGACUAAAGUUAUUCUUAGGGACCAAGGUGUGUCAUCCUUUAGGUCUGGGUUAAAACUGGGGACAUUGAGAAGGUGUAUCAGCUGUUUUGCGUCAAAGUAAUUCUUCAGAGACUUUAUCAACGUUUACUUAUAGGUUUAAUCUGGGGGCACGGUGGGGGUGUAUUAGCCUCCAUGGGCCUUGGUUAGCCUCGGGGAUCCAGGUGUGUCAUCCUUUAGGUCCAGGUUAUAUCUGGAGACACCGUGAUGGUGUGUGUGCCUUUAGGUCCAGGUUAUAUCUGGAGACACAAUGAAAAUGGAUCAGUCUCCAUGUGUCCAGGUUAUUCUCCAGGAUCAAGGUACAUCACUCUUUAUUUUUAGCUUAAAUCUGGGAACACUGAGAAGGUGUGCCAGCCUUUAUGCGACUAGGUGAUUCUCGGGGACCAAGUUGUGUCUGCCUUUAGUUCUAGAUUAUAUCCAGGAAUACUGUGACGGUGUGUCAGCCUUUAAGUGUCUAGGUCACUCUUAGGGAUCAAGGUGUAUCAGCCUUUUAUAUCUGGAGAACACAGCAAAAGUGUCUCAGCUCCCAUGUGUCUGUGCUGUUCUUGAUAAUCAAAGUGUGUCAGCCUUUAGGUCAAGGUUAGAUUUGGGGACACUGAGAAGGAGUGUGAUCCUUUUUGGGUCUAGGUUAUUCUUAGGGACCAGGAUGUGUCAGCCUUUACGUCUAAGUUUUUGUGACUAGGUUGUUCUCAGGGACCAAGGUGUGUCAACCUUUAGGGCUAGGUUUAGAUCUAGGGACACUAAGAAGGUGUGUCAGACCGGUGUCAGUCUGGUUAUUCUCAGGGACCAAGGUGUGUUCACCUUAAGGUCUCAAUUAUAUCUGGUGAUGCAGUGAAGGUUUAUCAGCCCCCAUGUGUCUAGAUUAUUCUCGGGGAUGAGGGUGAGUUCAUAUCCAUGGACAUCCCAACCAUGUGUCAAUCUUGUUGCAUCUCAGUUACUCUAGCGGUCCAAAGUAGCCUUUAGUUUGAGGUUAUAUCCAGGGACAACCAAGUGUUCUUCAUUAGAUAGGGUCUAUCUGUGCAUAUCUUUCCAUGUGUGUGUUAAGGUUAGGUUACGUGAGUAGGCAAACCCAUAACGAGUCUGGUAAAUUCC